AUGUGGGGAACAGGCCAGGGGCAGGACCCAGUCAUGCAGGGGUGCUGGCCCCAGGUUGUCUCCAGGCUGGCUUCCUCCCUGAUGCUGAAGGCACCUUCCCCUGAUCCCCGCACUUCCCAAACAGAAAUUCUUUCCCAAGAGCUGAGCACAGAUCCCCAGGGGAAAACACACCUGACUGCCUCUCACAGGAGCUCCUCCAUUAGAUUGCGUUGCUGGAAUAAAUGUUCUCCACCCCACUACCCUUCUCUAAGGAGUGCCACAAACCAGUGGCCUGCCUGGUUAUGCUUGUACCUGAUCCAAUCCACUGGCAGCGUUCCCCAAGUGACACAAAUACUACAGCAGAGGAGGAGAGGAAAAUAUCUCAAGCUGAGUGCAGUCGUCAAGAUGUCUGGGCAUUUACAAGAAGACAACAACAACAGCAACAUCAUAACAUGGCAGCAACCACUGGGAUUGCUUAGGACACCUCAGGGAGUGACAGAUACUUGCCCUCUCCCUGAGAAAAGGACACAAAUUAGCUGUUCAGUUUCCACUGCAUGGGAACUCUUCAGUGGAAAGAUAAAGUUUGAGACCAGAAGAAUCAUCAUGGCCAUCUUAUUUAUACCUCACGGUCUAUUCAGUUAUGUUUGCUACUUUGGUACAGUGACAUCAUGAAAUUAAUAAAAUGGGCUGAAGCACAUUUUCUAUAAAAGGA
RNAcentral lists this long non-coding RNA (691 nucleotides) under Anas platyrhynchos platyrhynchos (common mallard). RNAcentral's name for it is "lncRNA (ENSAPLG00000030996.1)". Lineage: Eukaryota; Metazoa; Chordata; Aves; Anseriformes; Anatidae. The record is from RNAcentral.